This 262-nucleotide ribosomal RNA is filed under the name uncultured archaeon. Its description in RNAcentral is "partial 16S ribosomal RNA". It matches the Rfam family "Archaeal small subunit ribosomal RNA", at positions 748 to 1008 of the family's 1478-position model. The record is from RNAcentral.
CAGCCGUAAACAAUGUGCGUUAGGUGUGUCGGUAACCACGUGUUACUGAUGCGCCGAAGAGAAAUCGUGAAACGCACCACCUGGGAAGUACGGUCGCAAGGCUGAAACUUAAAGGAAUUGGCGGGGGGAGCACCACAACAGGUGGAGCCUGCGGUUUAAUUGGAUUCAACGCCGGACAUCUCACCGGAUAAGACAGCUGAAUGAUUGUCAAUCUGAAGGUUUUACAUGACUAGCUGAGAGGAGGUGCAUGGCGUCAGUGACU